GACGAACGCUGGCGGCGCGCUUAACACAUGCAAGUCGAACGGAAAGGCCCUGCUUUUGUGGGGUGCUCGAGUGGCGAACGGGUGAGUAACACGUGAGUAACCUGCCCUUGACUUUGGGAUAACUUCAGGAAACUGGGGCUAAUACCGGAUAGGAGCUCCUGCUGCAUGGUGGGGGUUGGAAAGUUUCGGCGGUUGGGGAUGGACUCGCGGCUUAUCAGCUUGUUGGUGGGGUAGUGGCCUACCAAGGCUUUGACGGGUAGCCGGCCUGAGAGGGUGACCGGCCACAUUGGGACUGAGAUACGGCCCAGACUCCUACGGGAGGCAGCAGUGGGGAAUAUUGCACAAUGGGCGGAAGCCUGAUGCAGCAACGCCGCGUGCGGGAUGACGGCCUUCGGGUUGUAAACCGCUUUCGCCUGUGACGAAGCGUGAGUGACGGCAAUGGGUAAAGAAGCACCGGCUAACUACGUG
This 468-nucleotide ribosomal RNA is filed under the name uncultured bacterium. RNAcentral's name for it is "partial 16S ribosomal RNA". It matches the Rfam family "Bacterial small subunit ribosomal RNA", at positions 28 to 507 of the family's 1533-position model. The record is from RNAcentral.